Canis lupus familiaris (dog) is the source of this 465-nucleotide long non-coding RNA. RefSeq lists it as uncharacterized. The transcript has 2 exons. NCBI's taxonomy places the organism in Eukaryota, Metazoa, Chordata, Mammalia, Carnivora, Canidae. The record is from RefSeq and is a predicted model, not a curated record.
CAACUUUACACAGCUAAUAAAAUGAAGGAUGGAAUCUCUCCUCUUUACCACUGCUGCUGUCCUUCCAAGGUUACACUAACCAUGCAGAAAAGGACAGAGCAACCCUAUCAGAAGGUGGAAUUACUACUCCAGAUAUAAGCUGAAGAUGAUUAAAAUAUUUUGGAAUAAGGAGACAUGACAACUAACUGCAACGUGGAAUCCUGAAUUGGAUUUAGAACAGAAAAAAGGGACAUUAGUGGAAAAACUGGUAAAAUUUGAAUAAGGUCUAUAUUUUGCCUUACUAGUAUUGUACCAACACUUCCUACUGCCUGGCUUUUGAAAACUGUACCAUAUCUAUGUAAAGUAUUGACAUAAGGGGAAGUUAAGUGAAGGAGAUACAGAAAUUUUUUGUACUAUUUUUGCCACUUUCCUGUAAGUCUAAGUUUAUUUCAAAAUAAAACAUUAAAAAAAAAAGAGGGAAAGGUA